UGGGAAGAGAGGGUGGCCUCUGUGCCCCAGGU
Molecule: non-coding RNA, 32 nt
Filed under: Homo sapiens (human)
Lineage: Eukaryota; Metazoa; Chordata; Mammalia; Primates; Hominidae
Source: RNAcentral